UACAGAGGAGCCAAGCGUUGUCCGGAUUGACUGGGCGUAAAGCGCACGCAGGCGGCAUCGCGCGUGGGGUGUGAAAUCUGGCCGCUUAACGGCCAGGCGCCAUCCCAUACGUCGAGGCUGGAGCGAUGCAGAGGUCGGUGGAAUUGCCGGUGUAGUGGUGAAAUGCGUAGAGAUCGGCAGGAACACCCAGGGGGAAACCAGCCGACUGGGCAUCUGCUGACGCUGAGGUGCGAGAGCGUGGGGAGCGAACCGG
Molecule: ribosomal RNA, 253 nt
Filed under: uncultured bacterium
Lineage: Bacteria
Description: partial 16S ribosomal RNA
Rfam family: Bacterial small subunit ribosomal RNA
Source: RNAcentral